UCAAAUUGAAGAACUGAGAUCGAUUGGUGCAUAGAUAUCGUCCAAGAAUAAUUUAAUUUCAAUUCUAGCACCAUUCGAAAUCAGUGCUUUGUAUUGGAA
Molecule: microRNA precursor, 99 nt
Filed under: Drosophila grimshawi
Lineage: Eukaryota; Metazoa; Arthropoda; Insecta; Diptera; Drosophilidae
Description: microRNA dgr-mir-285 precursor
Gene: dgr-mir-285
Rfam family: mir-29 microRNA precursor family (bases 8-90)
About the family: This family represents the microRNA (miRNA) precursors mir-29. Animal miRNAs are transcribed as ~70nt precursors and subsequently processed by the Dicer enzyme to give a ~22nt product.
Source: miRBase by way of RNAcentral